RNAcentral lists this ribosomal RNA (254 nucleotides) under uncultured bacterium. RNAcentral's name for it is "partial 16S ribosomal RNA". It matches the Rfam family "Bacterial small subunit ribosomal RNA", at positions 524 to 776 of the family's 1533-position model. The record is from RNAcentral.
GACGUAGGGUGCGAGCGUUGUCCGGAUUUAUUGGGCGUAAAGAGCUCGUAGGCGGCUUGUCGCGUCGGCUGUGAAAACCUGCAGCUUAACUGUGGGCGUGCGGUCGAUACGGGCAUCACUGGAGUUCGGCAGGGGAGACUGGAAUUCCUGGUGUAGCGGUGAAAUGCGCAGAUAUCAGGAGGAACACCGGUGGCGAAGGCGGGUCUCUGGGCCGAUACUGACGCUGAGGAGCGAAAGCGUGGGGAGCAAACAGG